This 697-nucleotide ribosomal RNA is filed under the name Bacillus sp. (in: firmicutes). RNAcentral describes it as "bacterial SSU rRNA". It matches the Rfam family "Bacterial small subunit ribosomal RNA", at positions 155 to 836 of the family's 1533-position model. Lineage: Bacteria; Bacillati; Bacillota; Bacilli; Caryophanales; Bacillaceae. The record is from RNAcentral.
AACCGGAGCUAAUACCGGAUAGUUCCUUGAACCGCAUGGUUCAAGGAUGAAAGACGGUUUCGGCUGUCACUUACAGAUGGACCCGCGGCGCAUUAGCUAGUUGGUGAGGUAACGGCUCACCAAGGCGACGAUGCGUAGCCGACCUGAGAGGGUGAUCGGCCACACUGGGACUGAGACACGGCCCAGACUCCUACGGGAGGCAGCAGUAGGGAAUCUUCCGCAAUGGACGAUAGUCUGACGGAGCAACGCCGCGUGAGUGAUGAAGGUUUUCGGAUCGUAAAGCUCUGUUGUUAGGGAAGAACAAGUGCAAGAGUAACUGCUUGCACCUUGACUGUACCUAACCAGAAAGCCACGGCUAACUACGUGCCAGCAGCCGCGGUAAUACGUAGGUGGCAAGCGUUGUCCGGAAUUAUUGGGCGUAAAGGGCUCGCAGGCGGUUUCUUAAGUCUGAUGUGAAAGCCCCCGGCUNNCAACCGGGGAGGGUCAUUGGAAACUGGGAAACUUGAGUGCAGAAGAGGAGAGUGGAAUUCCACGUGUAGCGGUGAAAUGCGUAGAGAUGUGGAGGAACACCAGUGGCGAAGGCGACUCUCUGGUCUGUAACUGACGCUGAGGAGCNANAGCGUGGGGAGCGAACAGGAUUAGAUACCCUGGUAGUCCACGCCGUAAACGAUGAGUGCUAAGUGUUAGGGGGUUUCCG